AACGAACGCUGGCGGCGUGCUUAACACAUGCAAGUCGAACGAGAAAGCUCUUCGGAGUGAGUAUAGUGGCGCACGGGUGAGUAAUAUAUAGGAACGUACCUCUGAGUGGGGAAUAACCACGGGAAACCGUGGCUAAUACCGCAUAGUCUGGAAACAGUAAAGUCCGCCUCUUCUUGAAAGCAGGCGCUUAGAGAUCGGCCUAUAUCCCAUUAGCUAGUUGGUAGGGUAAUGGCCUACCAAGGCAACGAUGGGUAGCUGGUCUGAGAGGAUGAUCAGCCACACUGGGACUGAGACACGGCCCAG
Molecule: ribosomal RNA, 303 nt
Filed under: uncultured bacterium
Lineage: Bacteria
Description: bacterial SSU rRNA
Rfam family: Bacterial small subunit ribosomal RNA
Source: RNAcentral